GAUGAACGCUGGCGGCGUGCCUAAUACAUGCAAGUCGAGCGAACGGACGAGAAGCUUGCUUCUCUGAUGUUAGCGGCGGACGGGUGAGUAACACGUGGAUAACCUACCUAUAAGACUGGGAUAACUUCGGGAAACCGUAGCUAAUACCGGAUAAUAUUUUGAACCGCAUGGUUCAAAAGUGAAAGACGGUCUUGCUGUCACUUAUGGAUGGAUCCGCGCUGCAUUAGCUAGUUGGUAAGUUAACGGCUUACCAAGGCAACGAUGCAUACCAGACCUGAGAGGGGGAUCGGCCACACUGGAACUGAGACACGGUCCAGACUCCUACGGGAGGCAGCAGUAGGGAAUCUUCCGCAAUGGGCGAAAGCCUGACGGAGCAACGCCGCGUGAGUGAUGAAGGUCUUCGGAUCGUAAAACUCUGUUAUUAGGGAAGAACAUAUGUGUAAGUAACUGUGCACAUCUUGACGGUACCUAAUCAGAAAGCCACGGCUAACUACGUG
This 497-nucleotide ribosomal RNA is filed under the name uncultured bacterium. Its description in RNAcentral is "partial 16S ribosomal RNA". It matches the Rfam family "Bacterial small subunit ribosomal RNA", at positions 28 to 507 of the family's 1533-position model. The record is from RNAcentral.